UGUUGAUUCACUCCAGGGCAGGAUGAACACCCAGGCCCUGGCUGCAUCCCAAAUGGCACCCUAUUCUUCCUAUAAUGCAUGGGUCCUGGUCAAAAGUAGUGCACUGUAAAGGGAAUAGGGUGCCAUUUGGUACACAAACACUAUAACGCGAACAAACAACAAUCAGCAAUGUUUUAUCUGAUAAAAAAGGACUUAACAGACUUCUAUGCAGGAAUGUUAAAGCAGCUGCUUAGUAAAUCCUGUUUUAUAAACCAAGUCCUGCUGCGGGCUAAGUUUACUGAUAGAUGAAUGACAACGUCUACAUUUUGUGUUCAAUGAACCGUGGAAAAAUAGUUUCUGCCUUUAAUAAGUAUUUCUUUAACUUCUUUGAAACAGUUUAAAAAUCAGUAAGAAAGUUUUAAUCUACACCAUUAUAACUAAGCAGGAAGAGAAGCAGGAAGACAAAAAGGCAGGGAUUAGGAGAGGAAGUGUGGCCAGAAUUAAAUUAUUAUUAUCUCACAUGAAUCCCAACAGUCCAAACCGCAUUGGCCAUGGGGAUUUAUCUGUAUAGAGCAGUCAGUGGUUGAAAAGGAAUCCCUCUCUGCUCUUGAGUGGCUAUCCUUUUUACAGGUCAGGGUGAGAGCUGCAAUAGUGUGAGGCACCAAGGCAUCACAGAUCAAAAUCAAUAGGCCCCUAUAGGCCCCAGGCUAGGCCUAUUCAGCUAGCAGGGUGAGAGGGGACCUGGAUUGAGUGGGGGGCUGGACAUUCCAUAAAGGAGGAUGACAUCACAAUAGGGAGUUGGGAGUUGCUGGUUGGAGCACUGACCAUGAAAUAGAUGCCUCUCUCUGAUCACGGGAUCAACCCACUUCCUAGAGAAAACCUAACCACUCCAGUUCCUGGGAUUGUUCAAGAGGAGUGGGAUUCCACAGCUCUACCCCUGCCUCCAUUUCCAUAUCCACAGUCUGAGGAAGACUGGUUGGUCGAAACAUGUUGCUCUAUUGAAAGGGGGUUCAGAGUAAGUCUUCCUCAACAUCUUCAGUGUAACCAGUGAAGGCUUGCCAGAGUACUUACAACUGGUAUACCUGUAAGGCAAGAUGGCGCCGACAGACAUGGCAACUCUACUUCUAGCUCCUAAGCAACUUUGCAACUUUGUUACAUAACGUAUAAAGAGCAGGGACUGUCUCUGUGACACAGGCGUGUGGUGGGCACAGAGCAGCCAAUACAGAGCCAUCGCUGGAUGCUCAAUAGACCUCUGUUGCCACUGGAUACUAGGUUGGUUACCAAGCCAACACAUAUGCCUCCCUCACCACACCAACAUCUGAAUGUAUAAUACUCACACACACAUGCAUGCACAUA
Molecule: non-coding RNA, 1335 nt
Organism: Salmo salar (Atlantic salmon)
Lineage: Eukaryota; Metazoa; Chordata; Actinopteri; Salmoniformes; Salmonidae
Source: RefSeq, a predicted model, not a curated record